Molecule: long non-coding RNA, 344 nt
Filed under: Nicotiana benthamiana
Lineage: Eukaryota; Viridiplantae; Streptophyta; Magnoliopsida; Solanales; Solanaceae
Description: long non-coding RNA (NBEN_LNC024387)
Source: RNAcentral
CGAGAUAUAUUAAGACCUACGAUAGAAACAUGAAAAGCAAACAUACUAGGGACUAACGUUCAGCUCACGAGGAAUCCAUAAGAAUUAGCAGUAGAGGAAACCUGCUUCAGAAGGCAAAAUUCAACAGCACAUUGUAUUACACAAAAAGAGAAACACCAGUUAAAAUCUCGACUUCGCUGACAAAAAGGAAUAGCUGGUUUCUCUAUGAAAAGGAACUGCAGUUUCCCAUGUACCAGCAGCAUAUCAAAAAAGUAGAGAAUCUACAACAUAAUAUGAUUCUCUAGGAACAACAUCAACCUUGUUGCACACUGGAACCUCAUAGUGUGCACCAAUGUACAUGGUCA